CCUAGUCAGUAUCCCUGAGCAUAGAGCACUUUAGUUCAGUCCCCCGAAACUAGACGAGCUACUUCAAGACAGCCUACGUUGGGCGAACCCGUCUCUGUUGCAAAAGAGUGGGAUGAUCUUCAAGUAGAGGUGACAAACCAACCGAGCCUAGUUAUAGCUGGUUGUCUGAGAAGUGUAUUUAAGUUCAGCCUCCCGACUCCCCCCAUCCAAGACACCCAUGUCUCUCAAGACUGAGGGCGACCGAGAGAGUUAGUCAAAGAGGGUACAGCCCCUUUGAAAAAGGACACAACCUCCCCGGGAGACUAAAGAUCAAAAUUCACCUAAGGACUCUUGUUCCAGUGGGCCUAAAAGCAGCCACCUAAAAAGAAAGCGUUAAAGCUCGUACAAACUUUCCCUCCCCCAAUACCGAACCCAACUCUAAGACCCCGCCCAUUAUCAGACCCUCCCGUCAAUCGCUGGAAAGACCCUGCUAGGAUAAGUAAUAAGAGCGGAACUGCCGCUCUCCACCACACAUGUGUACAUCGUAACGGACCCGCCACCGAUGAUUAACGCCCCCCCCCCCCGAGGGAAGUGUACUGCCCCCUGAAUAUCUGGAAAAAUCGACACAACCAAUCGUUAACCCAACACAGGUGUGUGCACUAGGAAAGACUUGAAUAAAGGGAAGGAACUCGGCAAACACAAGCCUCGCCUGUUUACCAAAAACAUCGCCUCUUGCAAGACUAACGAAUAAGAGGUCCCGCCUGCCCUGUGACCAUGUGUUUAACGGCCGCGGUAUUCUGACCGUGCAAAGGUAGCGCAAUCACUUGUCUCUUAAAUGGAGACCUGUAUGAAAGGCACCACGAGGGCUUAGCUGUCUCCCCUUUAAAGUCAAUGAAAUUGAUCUCCCCGUGCAGAAGCGGGGAUGUACCCGUAAGACGAGAAGACCCUAUGGAGCUUAAGACACAAGGCGACCCAUGUCAAGCACCCUCCCCAGAGCGGAUGAACAUGAUGAGCCUCGCUGGAGUGUCUUCGGUUGGGGCGACCGCGGGGAAACACAAAACCCCCACAUGGAUUAGGGCAACUAACCCCUAGAACCUAGACCCACAGGUCGAGUCAACAGAACUUCUGACCACCAAAGAGCCGGCAGUGCCGAUCAACGGACCGAGUUACCCUAGGGAUAACAGCGCAAUCCCCUCCCAGAGCCCUUAUCGACAAGGGGGUUUACGACCUCGAUGUUGGAUCAGGACAUCCUAAUGGUGCAGCCGCUAUUAAGG
RNAcentral lists this ribosomal RNA (1253 nucleotides) under Taaningichthys bathyphilus. RNAcentral's name for it is "16S ribosomal RNA". It matches the Rfam family "Bacterial large subunit ribosomal RNA", at positions 677 to 2570 of the family's 2925-position model. Lineage: Eukaryota; Metazoa; Chordata; Actinopteri; Myctophiformes; Myctophidae. The record is from RNAcentral.